ACACACACUUCAGAGUUUGAUCCUGGCUCAGGAUGAACGCUAGCGGCAGGCUUAACACAUGCAAGUCGAGGGGUAACGCGGGGUAGCAAUACUCUGGCGACGACCGGCGCACGGGUGCGUAACGCGUAUGCAACCUACCUGUAACAGGGGUAUAACGGAGAGAAAUUUCCACUAAUCCCCCAUAUUGUUAGAGAUUCGCAUGUUUCUCUAACGAAAGCUUCGGUGGUUACGGAUGGGCAUGCGUGACAUUAGCUAGUUGGUAAGGUAACGGCUUACCAAGGCGACGAUGUCUAGGGGAGCUGAGAGGCUUAUCCCCCACACUGGUACUGAGACACGGACCAG
This 342-nucleotide ribosomal RNA is filed under the name uncultured bacterium. Its description in RNAcentral is "bacterial SSU rRNA". It matches the Rfam family "Bacterial small subunit ribosomal RNA", at positions 1 to 334 of the family's 1533-position model. The record is from RNAcentral.